Molecule: small nuclear RNA, 285 nt
Filed under: Chinchilla lanigera (long-tailed chinchilla)
Lineage: Eukaryota; Metazoa; Chordata; Mammalia; Rodentia; Chinchillidae
Description: 7SK RNA (ENSCLAG00000021887.1)
Rfam family: 7SK RNA
About the family: 7SK was discovered as an abundant small nuclear RNA in the mid-70s but a possible function has only recently been suggested.
Source: RNAcentral
GGAUGUGAGGGCGAUCUGGCUGUGACAUCUGUCACCCUAUUGAUUGCCAGGGUUGAUUCAGCUGAUCUGGCUCUCUAGGUGGGUGUGCCCUUCCUCAACGCUCCAUGUGCAUCCCUCCUGAAGUUGCACGCUUGGUUGAAGAGGACGACCACCCCCAAUAAAGGAGGAUCAUUCCUCCAUCAAAGGUAUAGGAGUAGCUGCGCUCCCCUGCUAGAACUGCUAAACUAGCUCUCAAAUAUAUGUGAUACACAGAAAGGACGUAUUGGAUACUGAACAGUCUUGGUU